This 452-nucleotide ribosomal RNA is filed under the name uncultured bacterium. RNAcentral's name for it is "bacterial SSU rRNA". It matches the Rfam family "Bacterial small subunit ribosomal RNA", at positions 28 to 477 of the family's 1533-position model. The record is from RNAcentral.
GACGAACGCUGGCGGCGUGCCUAACACAUGCAAGUCAACUUGACUGAAGGAGCAAUCUGACAGUAGAGUGGCGCAAGGGUGCGUAACGCGGUAAGUAACGUUGCCCCAAGGUAAGGAAUAACGUCGAGAAAUCGGCGCUAAUACCUCAUAAUGCAGCGGAUCCGCAUGGAUAUGUUGUUAAAGGUUUACCGCCUUGGGAUAGGCUUGCGUCUGAUUAGUUAGUUGGUGUGGUAACGGCACACCAAGGCUACGAUCAGUAACUGGUCUGAGAGGAUGAUCAGUCACACUGGAACUGAGACACGGUCCAGACUCCUACGGGAGGCAGCAGUGAGGAAUAUUGGGCAAUGCUCGAAAGAGUGACCCAGCAACGCCGCGUGGAGGAUGAAGGUAUUCUAUAUCGUAAACUCCUGUGAGAGCAGACGAAGACAGAUUAUUAAUACUGGAUGACUGUA